Molecule: small nuclear RNA, 107 nt
Organism: Cynocephalus volans (Philippine flying lemur)
Lineage: Eukaryota; Metazoa; Chordata; Mammalia; Dermoptera; Cynocephalidae
Source: RefSeq, a predicted model, not a curated record
GUGCUUGCUUCAGCAGCACGUGUGCUAAAAUUGGAACAAUACGAAGGGGAUUAGCAUGGCCCCUGUGCAAGGAUGGCAUGCAAAUUCAUGAAGUAUUCCGUAUUUUA